GAGGCAUUCUGCCUAGUAUCUUGCAUGUACUAGUUUUGUUAGUGCCUAUAAGACUGGUAUAGUGAUAAUUAUAUACAUUUUUACAGAUGAGCAUGCCGAAUCUUUAGGGACUUUGUCCAAUUCUGAUCUGACAGAAAAAUCAAGCUCUUACCUAUGAUAUCAGGCAGCAAUUGCCUUGUAAUAAGCAGUCACAGAACCUCUGUGGUUUACAACUCUAAACAUUUAUUUUCACAAAUCUGCCCAUCAGGUUAGGUGUCUUAAGCUGAUCUUGGUUGGGCCUAACAAGAUGGCUCCAAGCAGCAUAUCAAAUCCAUCUCUGCUCCACACAUCCCUCGACCUCCGUGGAUCAGUGAACAGACUGGCUGGACCAUGGUCUUCUCAUGGUGAUGACAAAAGUGCUGAGGGUUUGAAACCUGGCAAAACAAGAACUGGGAGGAAAAUAACUCUGUUUAGUGAAUGAAGAAAUUUACAUUCUGUCAUAUUUGUGAAGAGCUUAGAGAGACAGUAUCUUCUAUAUCUGAGAUAAUCAUUAGGUAUGUGAUUAGAAAUGUUUCAGUACCUUGAAACUGCUAUUGAAACCCCACUGUGCUGUGAGCUAAUAGGAUUAGUGCCCUAGCUUUGUAUAUCCCCUACAUGAACACUCUAAUGUGAACUGAAAAUACUCUCCUGAGCCCUCGGGUGGCUCAGUUGGUUAAGCAACUGCCUUCUGUUCAGGUCAUGAUCCCGGAGUCCUGGGAUCAAGUCCCACACUGGGCUCCCUGCUCAGCGGGGAGUCUGCUUCUCCCUCUGACCUUCUCCUCUCUCACUCUGUCUCUAUCAAAUAAAUAAGUAAAAUCUUUAAAAGAAGAAAAAGAAAAUAUUCUGCACUCCAACAGGAAGCGUCUCAAGCUCCGAAACACACUGUUACUACACUGACCUACAAAAGAAAUGUUCCAAAAAUAUCAGUCUGGCCAAGUCAGGUCUAUAUUGAAGUACAGACGGAUGUCUGCCAGAAAACGGAUGUUUGAGCAGAUCUCCAGAGAAUUCAGACAAGAGCCGGCCUGGGCAUGCAGUGUCUAAUACCCACAGGUAGACUUGCCCCCAAUCAGCCAGAUGGCAAUUCAAAAAGCAAUGGCACCGGAGAUCACAUUCGCUUUGAGUCUGCCCCGCCCCGCCACUCGGGAAAACCCUUAUCUCAAGCUCUCGGAAUGAAUAAUUGAGAGUCAAGGCCAAUUGGAACUUACUGUAAUGGGACUCAUCUCAAAACCCCCAUCACUGUAACUCAAUUCUAGAAUUGUGCUGUCCCUGCAAAACCUGUGGUCAGGUUUUAGGCCUUUCUUUUCAAAACAUAGAAGCUAAAUCUGUGCCGCAAUUACUGCACGGGGACAGCAUCGAUCUCACAACCAGUCCUGGAUCCCAC
This 1399-nucleotide long non-coding RNA is filed under the name Mustela putorius furo (domestic ferret). RNAcentral describes it as "lncRNA (ENSMPUG00000029348.1)". The record is from RNAcentral. Lineage: Eukaryota; Metazoa; Chordata; Mammalia; Carnivora; Mustelidae.